AGUGAACGCUGGCGGUAGGCCUAACACGUGCAAGUCGAAUGGCAGCACAGUAAGAGCUUGCUCUUACGGGUGGCGAGUGGCGGACGGGUGAGGAAUACAUCGGAAUCUACUUUUUCGUGGGGGAUAACGUAGGGAAACUUACGCUAAUACCGCAUACGACCUACGGGUGAAAGCAGGGGAUCUUCGGACCUUGCGCGAUUGAAUGAGCCGAUGUCGGAUUAGCUAGUUGGCGGGGUAAAGGCCCACCAAGGCGACGAUCCGUAGCUGGUCUGAGAGGAUGAUCAGCCACACUGGAACUGAGACACGGUCCAGACUCCUACGGGAGGCAGCAGUGGGGAAUAUUGGACAAUGGGCGCAAGCCUGAUCCAGCCAUACCGCGUGGGUGAAGAAGGCCUUCGGGUUGUAAAGCCCUUUUGUUGGGAAAGAAAAGCAGCAGGUUAAUACCCCGCUGUUCUGACGGUACCCAAAGAAUAAGCACCGGCUAACUUCGUG
This 492-nucleotide ribosomal RNA is filed under the name uncultured bacterium. RNAcentral describes it as "partial 16S ribosomal RNA". It matches the Rfam family "Bacterial small subunit ribosomal RNA", at positions 29 to 507 of the family's 1533-position model. The record is from RNAcentral.